RNAcentral lists this ribosomal RNA (507 nucleotides) under Escherichia coli. Its description in RNAcentral is "partial 23S ribosomal RNA". It matches the Rfam family "Bacterial large subunit ribosomal RNA", at positions 2270 to 2776 of the family's 2925-position model. The record is from RNAcentral. Lineage: Bacteria; Pseudomonadati; Pseudomonadota; Gammaproteobacteria; Enterobacterales; Enterobacteriaceae.
UUGACUGGGGCGGUCUCCUCCUAAAGAGUAACGGAGGAGCACGAAGGUUGGCUAAUCCUGGUCGGACAUCAGGAGGUUAGUGCAAUGGCAUAAGCCAGCUUGACUGCGAGCGUGACGGCGCGAGCAGGUGCGAAAGCAGGUCAUAGUGAUCCGGUGGUUCUGAAUGGAAGGGCCAUCGCUCAACGGAUAAAAGGUACUCCGGGGAUAACAGGCUGAUACCGCCCAAGAGUUCAUAUCGACGGCGGUGUUUGGCACCUCGAUGUCGGCUCAUCACAUCCUGGGGCUGAAGUAGGUCCCAAGGGUAUGGCUGUUCGCCAUUUAAAGUGGUACGCGAGCUGGGUUUAGAACGUCGUGAGACAGUUCGGUCCCUAUCUGCCGUGGGCGCUGGAGAACUGAGGGGGGCUGCUCCUAGUACGAGAGGACCGGAGUGGACGCAUCACUGGUGUUCGGGUUGUCAUGCCAAUGGCACUGCCCGGUAGCUAAAUGCGGAAGAGAUAAGUGCUGAAA